GCGCCUGUAGCUCAACUGGAUAGAGCAACGGCCUUCUAAGCCGUAGGUUGCAGGUUCGAGCCCUGUCGGGUGCGCCA
This 77-nucleotide transfer RNA is filed under the name Dichelobacter nodosus. RNAcentral describes it as "tRNA-Arg". It matches the Rfam family "tRNA". From Rfam's summary of the family: Transfer RNA (tRNA) molecules are approximately 80 nucleotides in length. Their secondary structure includes four short double-helical elements and three loops (D, anti-codon, and T loops). Further hydrogen bonds mediate the characteristic L-shaped molecular structure. tRNAs have two regions of fundamental functional importance: the anti-codon, which is responsible for specific mRNA codon recognition, and the 3' end, to which the tRNAs corresponding amino acid is attached (by aminoacyl-tRNA synthetases). tRNAs cope with the degeneracy of the genetic code in two manners: having more than one tRNA (with a specific anti-codon) for a particular amino acid; and 'wobble' base-pairing, i.e. permitting non-standard base-pairing at the 3rd anti-codon position. RNAcentral also lists the same sequence under 1 other name. The record is from RNAcentral. Lineage: Bacteria; Pseudomonadati; Pseudomonadota; Gammaproteobacteria; Cardiobacteriales; Cardiobacteriaceae.